Molecule: ribosomal RNA, 406 nt
Filed under: uncultured bacterium
Lineage: Bacteria
Description: partial 16S ribosomal RNA
Rfam family: Bacterial small subunit ribosomal RNA
Source: RNAcentral
AUUGAACGCUGGCGGCAGGCCUAACACAUGCAAGUCGAGCGAGCGGCGGACGGGUGAGUAAUGUCUGGGAAACUGCCUGAUGGAGGGGGAUAACUACUGGAAACGGUAGCUAAUACCGCAUACCAUCAGAUGUGCCCAGAUGGGCUUAGCUAGUAGGUGGGGUAACGGCUCACCUAGGCGACGACCCCUAGCUGGUCUGAGAGGCUGACCAGACACACUGGGACAGGGACACGGUCAAGACUCCUACGGGGGGCAGCAGUAGGGAAUAUUGCACGAUGUGCGAAAGCCUGAUGCAGACAUGCCGCGUGUGUGAAGAAGGCCUUCGGGUUGUAAAGCACUUUCAGCGAGGAGGCGUUACCCGCAGAAGAAGCACCGGCUAACUCCGUGCCAGCCGCCGCGGUAAUUC